GUUUUAUUUUAUUCAACAUUUCACAAUGGAAUUCUGUUAGCUUUUGUAAAAAGUCUCAUUUAUAGAAUGCAAGAAAUGGGAGCAACUUUAGGAAUCAUUAAACCUAACUCUCUAAUUUUAUAGAGUUAGACCCAGAAUUUUUGCUUGAGGGAAACUAGUCAUUGAGACACAGAAAUUUUAGUUUACGUAUCCAAGGACACACUGAUGACAAAAGAAAGGUGAUGGUGAUGCAAACACCAUGGGCACCAAUGCAGGAUUCUGGCCAUUCCACCAUGCUGCCUUUCACAGCAUGACAAUGGGAAAGAGCAAAACAGCCUCCAACAUCUGGUUACUGGCCUGUACUCGCAGCUAGACACUGGUUUUCUUCUGCUGAACAUACAUCCUUGCAAAGAACAUCAACAUCAGACAAGCAUGGAGCAUUUGUGGACCACAUGCUUUUAUUUAAUCCACCUGGAACUACAAUGCUGUCCCACCACAAUUCCACCACCAUCAUUGCUCAGAUAAAUCCUAUGGAGAAGGAAAGAAUGAAGAAUGUCAGAGUGAUUACAGUACUGAAUAAAUAACUGUUGUCCUAU
RNAcentral lists this long non-coding RNA (575 nucleotides) under Ovis aries (sheep). RNAcentral describes it as "lncRNA (ENSOARG00000025608.1)". The record is from RNAcentral. Lineage: Eukaryota; Metazoa; Chordata; Mammalia; Artiodactyla; Bovidae.